Molecule: long non-coding RNA, 1633 nt
Organism: Phyllostomus hastatus (greater spear-nosed bat)
Lineage: Eukaryota; Metazoa; Chordata; Mammalia; Chiroptera; Phyllostomidae
Exons: 7
Source: RefSeq, a predicted model, not a curated record
CCACAGCGUAGUUCAGGUGUGAGCUCCCGGGAAUUCUUCCUGCCUGCCGAGACUGGCUUCAGGACAAGGGACUGGAUGACCCUUAUCUGACCCUCAGCCUGAAGAGAAUUGCCACCACUGACGUGUAAGAGUCUGUUUGUUGGAGGAACCGGAAAUGCCAAGUGCAGGGAUUGGACUACUCGGCCUCACAGGCCCUCCGUCUUCCUUGACUCCAAGAGACUCAACAAAUCAUGCACUUUAAAUAUGGUAGGAGACUAAAGAAAAACAACUGGGCCUUCAUCAAACUGAAAAGUUUUUACACAGCAAGAGAAACCAUCAAGAAAAUAAAAAGAUAAUCCACUGGGUUGUCAUCACUGAUCAACUUUUAAUCCAUCCCUGCUACUCCCGCCCUGUCAUCCUGCUGUCCAGGGAAGCCCUGGCAAGGGAAUUUCUGCUGGACAUGCUCCUACUAUGCUGGUUGGUGAAAACUUAAUCUGGUCCUCUUGGAACAGCUGUUGAAGAUGAGCUUCUGCUGGUGCCUUAUGGAGAGGUCUGUGGAUUUCCCUCCUCACCUGCUUCAGAAAAGUUGAAGCUCUUAGUAACUGUCUACCACGUGGUGAUUCAUCAACCCAGGCUCUGCUGUCUCCACACGGUGCAUCCACAUCUGUCUCAGCAGGAGAGAGGGAUGAAAACACCACGCUUUUCACUGCUUCAGCCUGGAAGUGACCCACAUCACCUCCACUCCCAUUCCACUGGCCACAGCUAGUCACAUGUCCCCUAACUGUAGCGUACCUGGGAAGUGUGUUUUUUUUCUUUCCUCUUUGUAUGCUCAGGGAGACCUGGCAAUGUCUACCAGGUGAACUAUUAAGUUAAUAAGAGCUCAGCAAGAUCAAUAUACCCAAGUCAAUAACAUUUUUAUACAUCUGUAACAAAAAUUAGAAAAUGUAAAUUUAGAUGUCCACUUAAAAUGCAACAAGCCUUUGGGACAAAUCUAACAAAAGAUGUGCAAGACAUUUGUAGAUAUAACUAUAAAACUUUAUUGAAGGAUAGAAAAGAUGUCAAUCCUCUCCAAGUUAAUCUGUAGAUUAAAUGCGAUUUUGACUAAAAUACAAAUAGAGUGUUUGGGGAUGGUAGCUGAUCCUAAACAUCAUAUGGGAUAACAAACAACUCAGAAUAACAGAGACAGUUUUACAGAGGAAGAAGGCUGCAGGUGGCAAGCAUGGGCAGUAGUGUUUGCACAGGGAUAGAACAGCAGACAAACGUUGCAAAGGAAAAGUAGGGCCUUGUUUGGAAAUAAAACUGGAGUUUGACAAAGAUGCCAUUGUAAAUCAAUGCAAAGAGGGGCCACUGGCUGCUGAGAUAACUGAAUAUGGAAAAAGUGAUCACGGAUUGCAAUGAUUAUAAGUUGGACAUUCUAAAGCAAAUAAUCCCAAAAUAAAAUUGUUACAAAAUUCCUUCCAAUUUUUUGCAGCAAAAAUAACAUCUUUAGUGUUCAUUGUGAGCAUAGUUUUUGAUAUGAUGUGGGAUGAGGUCUCCCAGCCCAAGAAUGGCCUAAGUCAUAAACUCCUGUUUCUGCAGUUGAAUUUCCUCUGCUUGAUUCUCACUGAGUACAUCAGAGGGUUGUUUGAAUGCCUCCAGAAAUGAUGAUGGGGAA